Oncorhynchus keta (chum salmon) is the source of this 798-nucleotide long non-coding RNA. RefSeq lists it as uncharacterized. Lineage: Eukaryota; Metazoa; Chordata; Actinopteri; Salmoniformes; Salmonidae. The transcript is spliced from 3 exons. The record is from RefSeq and is a predicted model, not a curated record.
GGAGAGAGCGAGAGGUGGAGUGAAGGAUAGAGGGAGAGGAGAGAGCGAGAGGUGGAGUGAAGGAUAGAGGGAGAGGAGAGAGCGAGAGGUGGAGUGAAGGAUAGAGGGAGAGGAGAGAGCGAGAGGUGGAGUGAAGGAUAGAGGGAGAGGAGAGAGCGAGAGGUGGAGUGAAGGAUAGAGGGAGAGGAGAGAGCGAGAGGUGGAGUGAAGGAUAGAGGGAGAGGAGAGAGCGAGAGGUGGAGUGAAGGAUAGAGGGAGAGGAGAGAGCGAGAGGUGGAGUGAAGGAUAGAGGGAGAGGAGAGAGCGAGAGGUGGAGUGAAGGAUAGAGGGAGAGGAGAGAGCGAGAGGUGGAGUGAAGGAUAGAGGGAGAGGGCAGAGUGAGAGAAACUUCAUAAAAGAAGAGUAUCAAAAGUGCCUUCAGUCAUAUUCUAUAUGGCAGUAAUAAAACCCAGGUCAACGUCACAGAUUUCCAUCAUGAGCGUCGCUCCUGUUUUUAUUCAGCCCAUCAUUCAUCAGAUUCUCAUUUCUUUCACCUCGUCUCUCUCCAAAUAACUUAAAAAGCCACAUGUCCACAAAAUGACUAGUGGCAUUCAGCCAGUGUAAGGGGACAGAAUACCGAUGAGAACAGAUCAAUAAAAAAAAACUAGCCUUUAUAUACAAAUUACUUCUGUCUGACUGUGUGUGGGUCAAUAAUAAGCAUGGCUGAAUGCCACACAGCUCAACCUCAAAAACAGACGUAGAGGCAUCAAGCAGACUGUUUUAAACAGGCCAUUUAGUUAAAACGUGUUGUGUGAGGAA